GCUGUCUAUCGAAUCGUUGCAAUUGAUGUUCGAUCUUGAAGAGAAGGAAGAGAUCUUCAAAAAGUAGGUUUUUAUGAUCCGAUAAAGAAUCAAACUUGUUUAAACGUUCCAGCUAUUCUCUAUUUCCUUGAAAAGGUAUUUCAUUUCUUUUUUAUUUAUACCUUCUUUAUCUUUAGUUUUAUCUAG
This 186-nucleotide ribosomal RNA is filed under the name Triticum aestivum (bread wheat). Its description in RNAcentral is "partial small subunit ribosomal RNA". The record is from RNAcentral. Lineage: Eukaryota; Viridiplantae; Streptophyta; Magnoliopsida; Poales; Poaceae.